AUUGAACGCUGGCGGCAGGCUUAACACAUGCAAGUCGAGCGGGGAAAGGUAGCUUGCAACCUGACCUAGCGGCGGACGGGUGAGUAAUGCUUAGGAAUCUGCCUAUUAGUGGGGGACAACAUUCCGAAAGGAAUGCUAAUACCGCCUACGCCCUACGGGGGAAAGCAGGGGAUCUUCGGACCUUGCGCUAAGAGAUGAGCCUAAGUCAGAUUAGCUAGUUGGUGGGGUAAAGGCCUACCAAGGCGACGAUCUGUAGCGGGUCUGAGAGGAUGAUCCGCCACACUGGGACUGAGACACGGCCCAGACUCCUACGGGAGGCAGCAGUGGGGAAUAUUGGACAAUGGGCGCAAGCCUGAUCCAGCCAUGCCGCGUGUGUGAAGAAGGCCUUUUGGUUGUAAAGCACUUUAAGCGAGGAGGAGGCUACUUGGAUUAUACUCUAGGAUAGUGGACGUUACUCGCAGAAUAAGCACCGGCUAACUCUGUGCCAGCCGCCGCCGUAA
RNAcentral lists this ribosomal RNA (500 nucleotides) under uncultured bacterium. RNAcentral describes it as "partial 16S ribosomal RNA". It matches the Rfam family "Bacterial small subunit ribosomal RNA", at positions 30 to 523 of the family's 1533-position model. The record is from RNAcentral.